RNAcentral lists this ribosomal RNA (194 nucleotides) under uncultured bacterium. RNAcentral's name for it is "partial 16S ribosomal RNA". It matches the Rfam family "Bacterial small subunit ribosomal RNA", at positions 1307 to 1500 of the family's 1533-position model. The record is from RNAcentral.
GCAACUCGCCUACAUGAAGUCGGAAUUGCUAGUAAUCGCGGAUCAGCAUGCCGCGGUGAAUACGUUCCCGGGCCUUGUACACACCGCCCGUCACACCAUGAGAGCCGGUAACACCCGAAGUCAGUGACCCAACCGCAAGGAGGGAGCUGCCGAAGGUGGAGCUGGUAACUGGGGUGAAGUCGUAACAAGGUAUC